This 470-nucleotide ribosomal RNA is filed under the name uncultured bacterium. RNAcentral's name for it is "SSU rRNA". It matches the Rfam family "Bacterial small subunit ribosomal RNA", at positions 26 to 518 of the family's 1533-position model. The record is from RNAcentral.
AGGACGAACGCUGGCGGCGUGCUUAACACAUGCAAGUCGAGCGGAAAGGCCCUUCGGGGUACUCGAGCGGCGAACGGGUGAGUAACACGUGAGUAAUCUGCCCCUAGCUCUGGGAUAGCUCCGGGAAACCGGGAUUAAUACCGGAUACGACCACCUUAGACAUCUUUUGUGGUGGAAAGAAUUUCGGCUAGGGAUGAGCUCGCGGCCUAUCAGCUUGUUGGUGGGGUAACGCCUACCAAGGCGACGACGGUAGCCGGCCUGAGAGGGCGACCGGCCACACUGGGACUGAGACACGGCCCAGACUCCUACGGGAGGCAGCAGUGGGAAUAUUGCGCAAUGGGCGAAAGCCUGACGCAGCGACGCCGCGUGGGGAUGAAGGCCUUCGGGUUGUAAACCCCUUUCAGCAGGGACGAAGCGAAAGUGACGGUACCUGCAGAAGAAGCGCCGGCUAACUACGUGCCAGCAGCCGC